UCUCUCUAUAUGUGGUAUUUGUGGAUCCUUACCAUAAUGUCACUUACCUAUAGCUAAUGGAAUAUUUAAGUGGAGCUUAUAGGAGUGGAAAACAGCUCAUACAUAUGUUGUCUAAUCGAGCCAUGGAUCCAAAGGAACUCAGCAUAUAAUUAAAUCAAGAUGUGCAUGUGUGAUGGAGUAAAUGAUAAUGAUGGUGAGAAUGCAUAAGUGUUAAUAAAAUUUGGUUCUCAUUGCUCCUCAUAUUGCUAUCUCUCCUCUUCUUUAAUCUUUGCUUUGGGAGAACAUGGGCUAUCUUUUUUCUCUUCUUCUUCUUUUUUUCAGGUGGGUAGUAGAUACCCCUAAUUCUACUGUCGGACACUUGUCCAUUUUUUUCCUCUCGAGUGGGCAUUUUUGUACCCCUAAUUCUACUUCGGACACUUGUCCAUUUUUACCUCUCGUCUCACUCUUUUUCUUUCUUUUUCGAGGUUCCCGGGCACUUGCCCCUUUUUAUUUCCUCGUAUAUAUUUUUGCAUAACCCAUGCCUCUUCUGCAUUGAAUCUUUUUAGAGAGAGAGAAUAACAAUAUUCGGGACAGUGAGUGAUAAUAUUUUUAGCAAUUUUAAUGAUUGAUGAUGAAUGCUGUGGUAGAUGUGUGCAAGUGAAUAUCUUAAUUUAACCACAUGAAAAGCUCCUAAGGGUCUACACAGCUCGAUCAAACUCAAUGUGAAUAUAGUAAAAGAUGUUAUAGCAAGUAUGGCUGUGGUAGGUGGUUUGCAAUGCUAGGAACUCAUCAUGUGAUUUGUAAGUUUUCAAAAUAAAUCUCCAGAACUUAGUGUAGUAGGAACAAGAUAAACAGUAGCUCAACUUUAUAUCAUGCCUUUCUCUUACCUAGACUUUAGUUUUAUGCUUCCCAAAGAUAGUAAUUUUAGUUUUAGUAAUUCCUAGAAGAAUUCUAAUAUAAAAGCUAGGUACUUGUAAGUAAGCAAGCAGAGCAACUGUUCAUCAUUUCCAUCAUGCAUCUUUUUGGUCUUUUUAUUUUUUUUAGAGAUUAAACUUAGCAGAAAAAUAAAGCACACUUAUCUACACACUCUUUUUAUUUUGUUUUCAUGUUUAUUAAGUGCAGU
This 1102-nucleotide long non-coding RNA is filed under the name Sorghum bicolor (sorghum). Its description in RNAcentral is "long non-coding RNA (SBIC_LNC014192)". The record is from RNAcentral. Lineage: Eukaryota; Viridiplantae; Streptophyta; Magnoliopsida; Poales; Poaceae.